Lonchura striata (white-rumped munia) is the source of this 374-nucleotide non-coding RNA. The record is from RefSeq and is a predicted model, not a curated record. Lineage: Eukaryota; Metazoa; Chordata; Aves; Passeriformes; Estrildidae.
AUGCCAACCCCUGCUUCCCGAAAGUCCAGUGCAUUAACACCAACCCCGGCUUCCGCUGCGACCCCUGCCCGCCCGGCUUCACCGGGCAGCUGCUGGAAGGGGUGGGCCUGGCCUUUGCCAGGGCCAACAAGCAGGUGUGCACCGACAUCAACGAGUGUGAGACUGGAGCUGCCACCAAUUGUGUCCCAAACUCCAUCUGCAUCAACACUCGGGGAUCCUACAAGUGCGGGCCGUGCAAGCCGGGCUUUGUGGGGGAUCAGAUCAGCGGCUGCCGGAGCCAGACGGCCCCGGGGACGCGGCGCUGCCCCAACGGCGAGAUCAGCCCGUGCCACGAGAAAGCCGAGUGCAUCGUGGAGAGGGAUGGCUCCCUGUCC